Molecule: ribosomal RNA, 449 nt
Filed under: uncultured Lachnospiraceae bacterium
Lineage: Bacteria; Bacillati; Bacillota; Clostridia; Lachnospirales; Lachnospiraceae
Description: partial 16S ribosomal RNA
Source: RNAcentral
CACGUAUUUAGCCGGGGCUUCUUGGUCAGGUACCGUCAAUGUCUUCCCUGCUGACAGAGCUUUACAUACCGAAGUACUCCAUCGCUCACGCGGCGUCGCUGCAUCAGGGUUGCCCCCAUUGUGCAAUAUCCCCCACUGCUGCCUCCCGUAGGAGUCUGGGCCGUGUCUCAGCCCCAAUGUGGCCGCCCACCCUCUCAGGCCGGCUACUGAUCGUCGCCUUGGUGGGCCGUUACCCCGCCAACAAGCUAAUCAGACGCGGACCCAUCCCGCACCGCCUGGGCUUUCCGCACAGCCCCAUGCGGGGCCGUGCGCAUAUGCGGUAUUAGCAGCCGUUCGGCUGUUGUCCCCAGUGCGGGUAGUGUCCACGCGUUACUCACCCGUCGCCACUCAGUCACGAGGGGCUUCCUUUCCGAAGAAAUUCCGCCCCAGCCGCUUCGUUCGACUUCGCA